This 497-nucleotide ribosomal RNA is filed under the name uncultured bacterium. RNAcentral's name for it is "partial 16S ribosomal RNA". It matches the Rfam family "Bacterial small subunit ribosomal RNA", at positions 28 to 507 of the family's 1533-position model. The record is from RNAcentral.
GAUGAACGCUGGCGGCGUGCCUAAUACAUGCAAGUCGAGCGAACAGACGCGGAGCUUGCUCCUUUGACGUUAGCGGCGCACGGGUGAGAAACACGUGGAUAACCUACCUAUAAGACUGGGAUAACUUCGGGAAACCGGAGCUAAUACCGGAUAAUCUAUUGAACCGCAGGGGUCAAUAGUGAAAGUCGGUUUUGCUGGCUCUUAUAGCUGGAUCAGAGCCUCAUUAGCUAGUUGGUAAGGUAAAGGCUUAUCAAGGGAACGAUGCGUAACCGACCUGCGAGGGGGGUAGGCCACACUGGAGGUGAGACACGGACCUGGCGACUACGGGAGGCAGCAGUAGGGAAUCGUACGCAAUAGUCGAAAGCCUGACGGAGUAACGCGACGUGAGUGAUGAAGGUCUUCGGAUCGGAAAACUCUGUUAUUAGUGAAGAACAAAUGUGUAAGUAGCUAUGCACGUAUUGACGGUACCUAAUCAGGAAGCAACGGCUAACUACGUG